Long non-coding RNA from Nerophis ophidion (straightnose pipefish), 1866 nucleotides. RefSeq lists it as uncharacterized. The record is from RefSeq and is a predicted model, not a curated record. NCBI's taxonomy places the organism in Eukaryota, Metazoa, Chordata, Actinopteri, Syngnathiformes, Syngnathidae. The transcript has 2 exons.
AGGAGUUUUUGUCCAGGUCGCAUCCAGCCAUGACUUGCAACACCCGUACGCAACGUUCCCAAACAGGAAGUUUGACAACCUCAGUGGAAAAACAGUAAUGAAGGUAAUAUUCCAGAAAUGUUGUGUGAAUGCGAGCGUUGUGCGGCGCUGUGCACACGAGUGGAAUAGGUGUAGAGACGUUGCGGACUUACUGGAAGAUGACACGCAGGCUGAGCUGGCAAGGACAGGCUGGAGGUUUCAUAUCCAGAAGGAGAGGUUAAACAACGACAUUUAGCCUGAAGUUCCUGAACUGGACAACAAAUUUCGCUUAUCGGCCUGCCUGACUACAAAUGAUGGAUAUCGGCCCAGAAAAGACCAUAUGGGUCCAUCUCUAUGAAAGAUGGUGCAGCAUGUUUGGGGGAUGAGGGUUACAAAACCCUGAAAAAGUCAAUGAGUCACCUCCAAAGAUACGUUCAGAUAUGUGAGCUCUGCUCCCUGAUGAGUCCAGACGCUAUUUUCAUCUGCUUGUGUCAUUUCUCCAACAACACCAGACGGACACACAAAAGACAAACCAUGAUAACUGAAGGCUACCAUGUAUAACCUAGUCAAUACAGUACAACCAACUUGUGUUAGGGGCCACAUAAAUUUCUCCCGCAGAAAAAAGUCGUAUUAUCCCAGCAGGCACAAGGAAAUGAUACAACGUUGAUUACACGUACAUGUCCUUUAACACGGACUUUGCAACAACAUUGAAAAAUAGUUUUAUCUGUAGAUUGAGACAACGUUGGUGUCUAACAUUGGUUCCAUGUUGUUGGUUGGGAAAUGAUCAAAUUUCAACGGUCGAAUCGACGUCACAACCCAACAUUGAUUAACCGUCAUCAAAAAGCGUGUUGUUUCAAUGUUGUAUUUGUGUUGUAGAAUAUUGGUUGGAGAAUGACCGAAUUUCAACAUCAUAUCAAAAUCACAAACCAACAUUGAUUAAACGUUGUCAAAAAGCAUGUUUUUUCAACGUUAUAUUUGUGUUGUAGAAUAUUGGUUGGGAAAUUAUCAAAAUUCAACGGUCAAAUCAACGUCACAACCUGGCAUUGAAUAAACGUAGUCAAAAAUCAUGUUGUUUCAACGUUGUAUUUGUGUUGUAGAAUAUUGGUUGGGGAAUUACCAAAAUUCAAUGGUCAAAUCAACGUAACAACCCAACAUUGAAUAAACUUUGUCAAACAGCAUGUUGUUUCAACGUUGUAUUUGUGUUGUAGAAUAUUGGUUGGAAAAUGACCAAAUUUCAAUGAUCCAGUUAACGUCACAAACUGACAUUAAAUAAACAUACCGUAGUCAAAAAAAUGAUGUUGUUUCAACAUUGUAUUUGUGCUAUUGGAGAUUGGUUGGGAAAUGACCAAUUUUCAACGGUCAAAUCAUCGUCAGAACCCAACAUUGAAUAAACGUCGUCAAAAGGCAUGUUGUUUCAACAUUAGGUUUGUGUUGUAGGGUAUUGAUUGGGAAAUGACCAAAAUUCGAUGUCAAAUCAACGUCACCACCCAACAUUGAAUAUACAUCGUCCAAAAGAAUGUUGUUUCAACGUUGUACUUGUGUUAUAAAAUAUUGGUUAAAAGAUGACCAAAUUUCAAUCUUCAAAUCAUCGUCACAACCUGACAUUGAAUAAAUGUUGUCAAAAGCAUGUCGUUUCAACGUUGUAUUUGUGUUGUACAAUAUUGGUGGGCAAAUAACUAAAUGUCAACGGUCAAAUCAACGUCAAAAACCAUCAUUGAAUAAAUGUUGUCAAAAAGCAUGUUUUUCUAAUGUUGUAUUUGUGUUGUAAAAUAUUGGUUGGGAAAUGACCAAAUUUUAAUGUCGAAUCAAUAUCGGAACCUGACAUUGAAUAAAAGUUGUCAAAAAGUA